AUGGGGCUGCUGGCUUCGGCACCCCACGUGGUGCCGGAGAAGAAGGCCAAGAAGAAGGCCACGGGGACUCGGAAGAGUUCCCGUUUUCAGGUGCUAUCGGACGAUGAAUCCGAGGCCGACUCCUCCCACCAAGGCGAGGAGGAGAAGAAGAAAGCCUCUCCCCCAGCGGGGGGAGGGAAGAAAAGGAAGGCCUCCCCAACAAGGGAGGCCGAAGGGUCCAAGAGGGGAAAAACUCUUCCCCCGGACUGUUCCGUCAACGCCAGUGACGAUGACGAGGACUGGCCUCCAAGGGCCAAGCCUCUGGCGAGAUCGUAA
This 315-nucleotide ribosomal RNA is filed under the name Triticum aestivum (bread wheat). Its description in RNAcentral is "partial small subunit ribosomal RNA". Lineage: Eukaryota; Viridiplantae; Streptophyta; Magnoliopsida; Poales; Poaceae. The record is from RNAcentral.